RNAcentral lists this ribosomal RNA (956 nucleotides) under uncultured bacterium. Its description in RNAcentral is "bacterial SSU rRNA". It matches the Rfam family "Bacterial small subunit ribosomal RNA", at positions 8 to 956 of the family's 1533-position model. The record is from RNAcentral.
AGAGUUUGAUCCUGGCUCAGGACGAACGCUGGCGGCGUGCCUAAUACAUGCAAGUCGAGCGAGACUCUUCGGAGUCUAGCGGCGGACGGGUGAGUAACACGUGGGCAACCUGCCUGUAAGACUGGGAUAACACCGGGAAACCGGUGCUAAUACCGGAUAAUCCUUUUCCUCUCAUGAGGAAAAGCUGAAAGUCGGUUUCGGCUGACACUUACAGAUGGGCCCGCGGCGCAUUAGCUAGUUGGUGAGGUAACAGCUCACCAAGGCGACGAUGCGUAGCCGACCUGAGAGGGUGAUCGGCCACACUGGGACUGAGACACGGCCCAGACUCCUACGGGAGGCAGCAGUAGGGAAUCUUCCACAAUGGACGAAAGUCUGAUGGAGCAACGCCGCGUGAGCGAUGAAGGCCUUCGGGUCGUAAAGCUCUGUUGUUAGGGAAGAACAAGUAUCGGAGUAACUGCCGGUACCUUGACGGUACCUAACCAGAAAGCCACGGCUAACUACGUGCCAGCAGCCGCGGUAAUACGUAGGUGGCAAGCGUUGUCCGGAAUUAUUGGGCGUAAAGCGCGCGCAGGCGGUCCUUUAAGUCUGAUGUGAAAGCCCACGGCUCAACCGUGGAGGGUCAUUGGAAACUGGGGGACUUGAGUGCAGAAGAGGAAAGCGGAAUUCCACGUGUAGCGGUGAAAUGCGUAGAGAUGUGGAGGAACACCAGUGGCGAAGGCGGCUUUCUGGUCUGUAACUGACGCUGAGGCGCGAAAGCGUGGGAAGCAAACAGGAUUAGAUACCCUGGUAGUCCACGCCGUAAACGAUGAGUGCUAAGUGUUAGAGGGUUUCCGCCCUUUAGUGCUGCAGCUAACGCAUUAAGCACUCCGCCUGGGGAGUACGGCCGCAAGGCUGAAACUCAAAGGAAUUGACGGGGGCCCGCACAAGCGGUGGGAGCAUGGUGGUUUAAUUCGAAG